RNAcentral lists this ribosomal RNA (458 nucleotides) under uncultured bacterium. Its description in RNAcentral is "bacterial SSU rRNA". It matches the Rfam family "Bacterial small subunit ribosomal RNA", at positions 977 to 1434 of the family's 1533-position model. The record is from RNAcentral.
GGGCUUGACAUCCCACGAACCUGGCUUAGUAGCCGGGGUGCCGAAAGGAAUGCAGAGACAGGUGCUGCAUGGCUGUCGUCAGCUCGUGUUGUGAGAUGUUGGGUUAAGUCCCGCAACGAGCGCAACCCUUGCCGAUAAUUACUAACAGGUAAAGCUGAGGACUUUAUUGGGACCGCCGGGGACAACUCGGAGGAAGGUGGGGAUGACGUCAAGUCAGCAUGGCCUUUAUGUCUGGGGCUACACACGUGCUACAAUGGCCGGUACAAAGAGAAGCGAGGGCGCGAGCCGGAGCGGAUCUCAGAAAAGCGGUCACAGUUCGGAUUGUGGGCUGCAACCCGCCCACAUGAAGCGGGAGUUGCUAGUAAUCGCGGAUCAGCACGCCGCGGUGAAUACGUUCCCGGGCCUUGUACACACCGCCCGUCACAUCACGAAAGCUGGCUGUACUCGAAGUCGCUGAG